CCCUUUGUGGUGCAAAUGGUUAACACAUUCAGCUGCUAACCAAAAGUUUGGAGGUUUGAGUCCAUCCAGAGGCA
Molecule: transfer RNA, 74 nt
Filed under: Loxodonta africana (African savanna elephant)
Lineage: Eukaryota; Metazoa; Chordata; Mammalia; Proboscidea; Elephantidae
Rfam family: tRNA
About the family: Transfer RNA (tRNA) molecules are approximately 80 nucleotides in length. Their secondary structure includes four short double-helical elements and three loops (D, anti-codon, and T loops). Further hydrogen bonds mediate the characteristic L-shaped molecular structure. tRNAs have two regions of fundamental functional importance: the anti-codon, which is responsible for specific mRNA codon recognition, and the 3' end, to which the tRNAs corresponding amino acid is attached (by aminoacyl-tRNA synthetases). tRNAs cope with the degeneracy of the genetic code in two manners: having more than one tRNA (with a specific anti-codon) for a particular amino acid; and 'wobble' base-pairing, i.e. permitting non-standard base-pairing at the 3rd anti-codon position.
Source: Rfam by way of RNAcentral